CAGUCGCCGCGGGAAUACGAAGGGGGCUAGCGUUGCUCGGAAUGACUGGGCGUAAAGGGCGCGUAGGCGGUUUUGACAGUCAGAUGUGAAAUUCUUGGGCUUAACCUGGGGGCUGCAUUUGAGACGUCAAGACUAGAGUGUGAGAGAGGGUUGUGGAAUUCCCAGUGUAGAGGUGAAAUUCGUAGAUAUUGGGAAGAACACCGGUGGCGAAGGCGGCAACCUGGCUCAUUACUGACGCUGAGGCGCGAAAGCGUGGGGAGCAAACAGGAUUAGAUACCCCCGUAGUUCCUGUCUCUUAUAA
RNAcentral lists this ribosomal RNA (301 nucleotides) under uncultured bacterium. RNAcentral's name for it is "partial 16S ribosomal RNA". It matches the Rfam family "Bacterial small subunit ribosomal RNA", at positions 509 to 809 of the family's 1533-position model. The record is from RNAcentral.